RNAcentral lists this ribosomal RNA (251 nucleotides) under uncultured prokaryote. RNAcentral's name for it is "partial 16S rRNA". It matches the Rfam family "Bacterial small subunit ribosomal RNA", at positions 525 to 775 of the family's 1533-position model. The record is from RNAcentral.
ACGUAGGGUGCAAGCGUUAAUCGGAAUUACUGGGCGUAAAGCGUGCGUAGGCGGUUUUUUAAGACAGAUGUGAAAUCCCCGGGCUCAACCUGGGAACUGCAUUUGAAACUGUAUAACUUGAGUACGGCAGAGGGAGAUGGAAUUCCUCGUGUAGCGGUGAAAUGCGUAGAUAUGCGGAGGAACACCGAUGGCGAAGGCAAUCCCCUGGGCCUGUACUGACGCUCAUGCACGAAAGCGUGGGGAGCAAACAG